Molecule: ribosomal RNA, 253 nt
Filed under: uncultured prokaryote
Description: partial 16S ribosomal RNA
Rfam family: Bacterial small subunit ribosomal RNA
Source: RNAcentral
ACGAAGGGGGCAAGCGUUGUUCGGAAUUACUGGGCGUAAAGGGCGCGUAGGCGGCCCGUUUAGUCAGAUGUGAAAGCCCCGGGCUCAACCUGGGAAUGGCGAUGGAUACUGGGCAGCUAGAGUGUGUCAGAGGAUGGUGGAAUUCCCGGUGUAGCGGUGAAAUGCGUAGAGAUCGGGAGGAACACCGGUGGCGAAGGCGGCCAGCUGGCGCUGACCUGACGCUGAGGCGCGAAGGCGUGGGGAGCGAACGGGA